Molecule: ribosomal RNA, 253 nt
Filed under: uncultured bacterium
Lineage: Bacteria
Description: partial 16S ribosomal RNA
Rfam family: Bacterial small subunit ribosomal RNA
Source: RNAcentral
GACGAACCGUGCGAACGUUGUUCGGAUUCACUGGGCUUAAAGGGCGCGUAGGCGGGCUCUCAAGUCGGGGGUGAAAGCCCGCGGCUCAACCGUGGAAGUGCCUCCGAUACUGGGAGUCUUGAGGGAGGUAGGGGUGCGUGGAACUUCCGGUGGAGCGGUGAAAUGCGUAGAUAUCGGUAGGAACGCCGGUGGCGAAAGCGACGCGCUGGAUCUCUUCUGACGCUGAGGCGCGAAAGCCAGGGGAGCAAACGGG